RNAcentral lists this ribosomal RNA (468 nucleotides) under uncultured bacterium. RNAcentral describes it as "partial 16S ribosomal RNA". It matches the Rfam family "Bacterial small subunit ribosomal RNA", at positions 28 to 507 of the family's 1533-position model. The record is from RNAcentral.
GACGAACGCUGGCGGCGUGCUUAAUGCAUGCAAGUCGAACGGAAAGGCCCUGCUUUUGUGGGGUGCUCGAGUGGCGAACGGGUGAGUAACACGUGAGUAACCUGCCCUUGACUUUGGGAUAACUUCAGGAAACUGGGGCUAAUACCGGAUAGGAGCUCCUGCUGCAUGGUGGGGGUUGGAAAGUUUCGGCGGUUGGGGAUGGACUCGCGGCUUAUCAGCUUGUUGGUGGGGUAGUGGCUUACCAAGGCUUUGACGGGUAGCCGGCCUGAGAGGGUGACCGGCCACAUUGGGACUGAGAUACGGCCCAGACUCCUACGGGAGGCAGCAGUGGGGAAUAUUGCACAAUGGGCGGAAGCCUGAUGCAGCAACGCCGCGUGCGGGAUGACGGCCUUCGGGUUGUAAACCGCUUUCGCCUGUGACGAAGCGUGAGUGACGGUAAUGGGUAAAGAAGCACCGGCUAACUACGUG